GGCCCGGCUCGCGGCCCCGCGCCGCCCCUCCUCGGCCGGCCCGCCUCCCCCUCCCGUUACACCCGGGGGAAGGUGUUCCCGAGACCGCUCCCAUCCUCACCCCGCCUCCCGGCUUUCCCGGCUCCAGCCUCCGCCGGCGGAGCUUCUGUGCCAGACAGUUUCGACACUUUGCAAAGACAAAGACCAGAGGGAGGAGGAAAAGGAGGACGAGGAGGAAGAGAGAGAAGGAAGGGGCGAUGUGAGCUGGGGAAGGGGUGCGUGUUCGGGACACCCCCCGCUUAUUCUCCCCCUCAGCCCCUCUUCCCCUCAAAGCCCCAGAAACUUCCGCGUGGCUCCCACGGCGGGCGCUGGUACCACUUUCAGAUGCAACCGUUCGGACGCAGAAAUGCCGAUAGGAGCAAUGAGCAUCUCCAGGGGCUGUGGCGAGCAGAUGCUGUGACCUUGGUGACCAGGACAGCCAUCUGAGGACCAGGAAUGGAUACCCCCUCAGCCCACUGAGUGAGAGGCUGUUUUUCUGGAUUCUUCCAUGGAUGACGUUGGGAGGGGCAGGGCGAUGCUCCUGCCUCUUGGUCUCUUUGUAACUUGGCACGCUCUCCUGGGAUAGUCCAUCAAGAGGGAAUAGCACCUUCUCCUGCAGGGAAAAAUGCAGGCCUUUUAGAGUAUCAAGCAACCUCUCUGUUUCUUAAAAGGAAAAUCUUCUGAGCUCUCACGAAAACUGGUAAAUCCUAUCAUGACAAGGGCCUGCCAUCCCAAAGAAGGCCUGCAGUGACACUGCUGUGUCCUGGAGUGAGUGCUCAGCAGCCAACACUAUGACCCACAGGACAAAGCCGGCCUGACCAUGUUUUAUAAAUAAAGUUUUACUGGCACCCAGCCAGGCUCAUCCAUCAGGGUCGUCUGUAUGGCCCUUGCGACAGAGAAGGUGUGGCUUCGAAGCUGAAAGUAGUUAUGAUCUGGUCCUUAACAGAAAAAAUGUGCCAGGAGUUCCCGUUGUAGCUCAGAGGAUUAAGAACCCGACUAGUAUCCGCGAGGAUAUGGGUUCGAUCCCUGGCCUUGCUCAGUGGGUUAAGGAUCCGGCAUUGCUGUGAGCUGAGGUGUAGGUCGCAGAAAGACGUGGUUCGGAUCCCGCGUAGCUGUCACUGUGGUGCAGGCCGGCAGCUGCAGCUCUGAUUUGACCCCCUAGCCUGGGAACCUCCAUAUGCUGCAGGUACAGCC
This 1212-nucleotide long non-coding RNA is filed under the name Sus scrofa (pig). Its description in RNAcentral is "lncRNA (ENSSSCG00000059334.1)". The record is from RNAcentral. Lineage: Eukaryota; Metazoa; Chordata; Mammalia; Artiodactyla; Suidae.